GUCGAUUUGGUGUAGUAUCGCAUGGUGAUUUUUCGUAUCUCCGGGUUCUUUUGGAAAUUCGAUG
This 64-nucleotide transfer RNA is filed under the name Hysteromorpha triloba. Its description in RNAcentral is "tRNA-Glu". The record is from RNAcentral. Lineage: Eukaryota; Metazoa; Platyhelminthes; Trematoda; Diplostomida; Diplostomidae.